AACGAACGCUGGCGGCAGGCUUAACACAUGCAAGUCGAACGCGUGUAGCAAUACACGAGUGGCGCACGGGUGAGUGACGCGUGGAUAUCUGCCUUUUGGUUCGGAAUAACUCCGGGAAACUGGAGCUAAUACCGGAUGGUUCCUUCGGGAUAAAGAUUUAUCGCCAAAAGAUGAGUCCGCGUACGAUUAGCUAGUUGGUGAGGUAAUGGCUCACCAAGGCGACGAUCGUUAGCUGGUCUGAGAGGACGAUCAGCCACACUGGGACUGAGACACGGCCCAGACUCCUACGGGAGGCAGCAGUGGGGAAUAUUGGACAAUGGGGGCAACCUUGAUCCAGCCAUGCCGCGUGAGUGAUGAAGGCCUUCGGGUUGUAAAGCUCUUUUGGCGGGGACGAUGAUGACGGUACCCGCAGAAUAAGCCCCGGCUAACUUCGUGCCAGCCGCCGCGGUAA
Molecule: ribosomal RNA, 451 nt
Filed under: uncultured bacterium
Lineage: Bacteria
Description: partial 16S ribosomal RNA
Rfam family: Bacterial small subunit ribosomal RNA
Source: RNAcentral